Non-coding RNA from Eptesicus fuscus (big brown bat), 90 nucleotides. The record is from RefSeq and is marked provisional. NCBI's taxonomy places the organism in Eukaryota, Metazoa, Chordata, Mammalia, Chiroptera, Vespertilionidae.
AUGUCUGUAUGCACAGUUGUGUGUGCACAUGUGUAUAUGUGUGAGGGCGUGUGUGCAUAUGUGAACAUGCACAUGUGUGGAGGAGGUGGA